RNAcentral lists this transfer RNA (70 nucleotides) under Dipodomys ordii (Ord's kangaroo rat). It matches the Rfam family "tRNA". Rfam says of the family: Transfer RNA (tRNA) molecules are approximately 80 nucleotides in length. Their secondary structure includes four short double-helical elements and three loops (D, anti-codon, and T loops). Lineage: Eukaryota; Metazoa; Chordata; Mammalia; Rodentia; Heteromyidae. The record is from Rfam by way of RNAcentral.
GGGAAAGUGGCUCAGUGGUAGAGCACUUGUCUUGCAUGCAUGAGGCCCUGGGUUCAAUUCCUCAGCACCA